RNAcentral lists this ribosomal RNA (253 nucleotides) under uncultured bacterium. RNAcentral's name for it is "partial 16S ribosomal RNA". It matches the Rfam family "Bacterial small subunit ribosomal RNA", at positions 524 to 776 of the family's 1533-position model. The record is from RNAcentral.
UACGUAGGGUGCAAGCGUUGUCCGGAUUUAUUGGGCGUAAAGAGCUCGUAGGCGGUCUGUCGCGUCGGAUGUGAAAACCCAGGGCUCAACCCUGGGCCUGCAUUCGAUACGGGCAGACUAGAGUGUGGCAGGGGAGACUGGAAUUCCUGGUGUAGCGGUGAAAUGCGCAGAUAUCAGGAGGAACACCGGUGGCGAAGGCGGGUCACUGGCCCGGUACUGACGCUGAGGUGCGAAAGCGUGGGGAGCAAACAGG